RNAcentral lists this ribosomal RNA (279 nucleotides) under Triticum aestivum (bread wheat). RNAcentral's name for it is "partial small subunit ribosomal RNA". Lineage: Eukaryota; Viridiplantae; Streptophyta; Magnoliopsida; Poales; Poaceae. The record is from RNAcentral.
AAUCAUGUUCUUGUUAACUCCGGCAAUAUGGAAGUAAUUGACACAAUGAAGAAUGGAGGACAUUCAGUGGGAGUGGCGGUGGCAGUGUUCGAUGAUUGCUAUUUUAUGGCUUGCGAUUUUCCGUGUAUUAGAUUUGAACAUUGUAAUAGGGAAGCAAAUAAAGUAGCUGGCGAACUUUCUAGGCUAGCUAAGUUUUCUGAGACUAAGGAUUGGUUUGAGGAGCCUAUGAGUAAUAUUGUAAAUCUUCUUAUUGACGACGUAACCGUUAUUUAUAUGUAG